GGAUAGCUCAGUUGGUAGAGCAUGAGACUUUCAAUCUCAGGGUUGUGGGUUCCCGCCCCAUGUUGGGCA
Non-coding RNA from Podarcis lilfordi (Lilford's wall lizard), 69 nucleotides. NCBI's taxonomy places the organism in Eukaryota, Metazoa, Chordata, Lepidosauria, Squamata, Lacertidae. The record is from the annotation of a GenBank genome assembly.